Molecule: ribosomal RNA, 241 nt
Filed under: Dermacentor reticulatus
Lineage: Eukaryota; Metazoa; Arthropoda; Arachnida; Ixodida; Ixodidae
Description: partial large subunit ribosomal RNA
Source: RNAcentral
UUGUAUGCUAAGAGAGUGGAUUUCAGGGGAAAGUUUUUUUAAAUUUAAUAAUUAAAGUUAUUUUAAUUUGUGAAGAAACAAUUAUAUAAAUUAAGGACAAGAAGACCCUAAGAAUUUAAGAAUUCUUAUGUUACUUAAAUAUAAAAUAGGAAUUCUUAGUUGGGGCAACUAAAAAACAUUAUAAACUUUUUUUCUUUAAAAUGACCCAUUAUUAAUGAUAAUAUGAUUAAAUACUCUAGGG